UACAGAGGUCCCAAGCGUUGUUCGGAUUCACUGGGCGUAAAGGGUGCGUAGGUGGUGAGGUAAGUCGGAUGUGAAAGCUCGGAGCUCAACUCCGAAAUGGCAUUGGAAACUACCUUGCUCGAGGGUUGGAGGGGGGAUUGGAAUACUUGGUGUAGCAGUGAAAUGCGUAGAUAUCAAGUGGAACACCAGUGGCGAAGGCGAAUCCCUGGAAAAUACCUGACACUGAGGCACGAAAGCUAGGGGAGCAAACAGG
This 253-nucleotide ribosomal RNA is filed under the name uncultured bacterium. Its description in RNAcentral is "partial 16S ribosomal RNA". It matches the Rfam family "Bacterial small subunit ribosomal RNA", at positions 524 to 776 of the family's 1533-position model. The record is from RNAcentral.